RNAcentral lists this transfer RNA (56 nucleotides) under Cyrtodactylus phumyensis (Phu My bent-toed gecko). RNAcentral describes it as "partial tRNA-Tyr". The record is from RNAcentral. Lineage: Eukaryota; Metazoa; Chordata; Lepidosauria; Squamata; Gekkonidae.
GCCGAGUAGGCGGCGAGUUGUAGCCUCGUGCACGGGCAAGCGCGCCCCCCGACCAG